CACACGACUCUCGGCAACGGAUAUCUCGGCUCUCGCAUCGAUGAAGAACGUAGGAAAUGCGAUACCUGGUGUGAAUUGCAGAAUCCUGCGAACCAUCGAGUCUUUGAACGCAAGUUGCGCCCGAGGCCACUCGGCCGAGGGCACGCCUGCCUGGGCGUCACGCC
RNAcentral lists this ribosomal RNA (164 nucleotides) under Elymus panormitanus. RNAcentral's name for it is "5.8S ribosomal RNA". It matches the Rfam family "5.8S ribosomal RNA". Rfam says of the family: 5.8S ribosomal RNA (5.8S rRNA) is a component of the large subunit of the eukaryotic ribosome. It is transcribed by RNA polymerase I as part of the 45S precursor that also contains 18S and 28S rRNA. The record is from RNAcentral. Lineage: Eukaryota; Viridiplantae; Streptophyta; Magnoliopsida; Poales; Poaceae.